RNAcentral lists this ribosomal RNA (484 nucleotides) under uncultured bacterium. RNAcentral describes it as "partial 16S ribosomal RNA". It matches the Rfam family "Bacterial small subunit ribosomal RNA", at positions 30 to 507 of the family's 1533-position model. The record is from RNAcentral.
AUUGAACGCUGGCGGCAGGCCUAACACAUGCAAGUCGAGCGGAUGAAGGGAGCUUGCUCCUGGAUUCAGCGGCGGACGGGUGAGUAAUGCCUAGGAAUCUGCCUGGUAGUGGGGGAUAACGUCCGGAAACGGGCGCUAAUACCGCAUACGUCCUGAGGGAGAAAGUGGGGGAUCUUCGGACCUCACGCUAUCAGAUGAGCCUAGGUCGGAUUAGCUAGUUGGUGGGGUAAAGGCCUACCAAGGCGACGAUCCGUAACUGGUCUGAGAGGAUGAUCAGUCACACGGGAACUGGGACACGGUCCAGACUCCUACGGGAGGCAGCAGUGGGGAAUAUUGGACAAUGGGCGAAAGCCUGAUCCAGCCAUGGCGCGUGUGUGAAGAAGGUCUUCGGAUUGGAAAGCACUUUAAGUUGGGAGGAAGGGCAGUAAGUUAAUACCUUGCUGUUUUGACGUUACCAACAGAAUAAGCACCGGCUAACUUCGUG